UAUCAUAACCAGAAAAAUUAACCAACUUCCACAAGCAGAAAGGGAUCUGUGUGAGCAUGGGAUCGACAUAUAUUGGACUGAACACUGCCCUUCAUGGCUUCAUACCAAUCAUCUCACAAGGGGUUUGUGAGUUUAUUUUUGCAGGCAGGUGAUUUGAAUUUUGAAACCUGUACCAUCAAACGGCAUGCAUUGGCUGGCCUUCUUUUGGGUGGUCUGUACCGGUUUUAUAGGCUAUACCUAUGAAUGGUGGCCUAGCAGUCAGGCAUGACUCAACCCUGCUACCUGGGAAAGAAAACAGUUUACUGGAUUAGAAUGUCUAUGCUCAUCUCCAGAAAUAUGUUAUUUCCCAUUUUGCUUCAGACUGUGUUUGCAGUAAA
This 377-nucleotide long non-coding RNA is filed under the name Homo sapiens (human). RNAcentral describes it as "non-protein coding lnc-CTSB-1:1". The record is from RNAcentral. Lineage: Eukaryota; Metazoa; Chordata; Mammalia; Primates; Hominidae.